GUGGGGAAUAUUGCGCAAUGGGGGAAACCCUGACGCAGCGACGCCGUGUGAGGGAAGAAGGCUUUCGGGUCGUAAACCUCUGUCAGAAAGGAAGAACCUCCCAAGUCCGAAUAGGGCUUGGGACUGACGGUACUUUCAAAGGAAGCACCGGCUAACUCCGUGCCAGCAGCCGCGGUAAUACGGAGGGUGCAAGCGUUAAUCGGAAUCACUGGGCGUAAAGCGCGCGUAGGCCGCUUUGUAAGUCGGACGUGAAAGCCCUCGGCUCAACCGGGGAACUGCGGUCGAUACUGCGAGGCUUGAGUCCUGGAGAGGGUGGCGGAAUUCCGGGUGUAGGAGUGAAAUCCGUAGAUAUCCGGAGGAACACCGGUGGCGAAGGCGGCCACCUGGACAGGUACUGACGCUGAGGCGCGAAAGCGUGGGGAGCAAACAGGAUUAGAAACCCCAGUAGUCC
Molecule: ribosomal RNA, 451 nt
Filed under: uncultured bacterium
Lineage: Bacteria
Description: partial 16S ribosomal RNA
Rfam family: Bacterial small subunit ribosomal RNA
Source: RNAcentral